AAUGAAUUUUAAUGCCCAAUUACUUUCAUAUUUGAAAAAUCCUCUGGGCCACAAUGCAGAAUCUACUUCCCUUCCGAAACACCUGCGAUCAUCCCAGGUUUUAUUGAGUUUCGUGUUUCUACGUUUUUAGUUGUUUAUGUUGUGUUAUGUAGACUUCUGGGGUUUUUUUUACACCUCCUUGCAAAAGUACAGAUGCAUACUGUACAUGGAGGAAUUUGUGUACAGUUAAAAAUAAAAAGUGACAAUAUAUUUUUGCAGAUGCAAAGUUAUGAGAGUAAAUCAAAGCUGCACACAUUUUAAGAGAAUCGUGUAACAGUCAUGUAUACUCGUGUAUGGCCGAGUAGAGAUCGAAGAGUGGUUGAAUAUUGUCGCAAUGAGAUCGGGUAUUGGUCGAGUUGGUCUGGAAUGAAAAACAUAUCGAAGUCGCAGUGAAUAUGAAGCGAUCAGACAUUGGUCGAGUUAAUCUUGACCAAAUAUCGUACAGGUUGUCGUUGAUCGGGAAAUGAUUGGAUAUGAGUCGAACAAAGAUCGAAAUGAUCGAGUACUGAUCCUCAGAUAAUUUUAUAAUUCCAAAACCAAAUACAGAGUUGUAAAAGUCUAGUUUCUCGUACACUGGACCAAAAG
This 624-nucleotide long non-coding RNA is filed under the name Mytilus galloprovincialis (Mediterranean mussel). The record is from RNAcentral. Lineage: Eukaryota; Metazoa; Mollusca; Bivalvia; Mytilida; Mytilidae.